CCUACGGUGGCUGCAGUGGGGAAUAUUGGACAAUGGGCGAAAGCCUGAUCCAGCCAUGCCGCGUGUGUGAAGAAGGCCUUCGGGUUGUAAAGCACUUUCAGUGGGGAAGAAAGCCUUGGGGCUAAUACCCUCGAGGAAGGACAUCACCCACAGAAGAAGCACCGGCUAACUCCGUGCCAGCAGCCGCGGUAAUACGGAGGGUGCGAGCGUUAAUCGGAAUUACUGGGCGUAAAGCGCGCGUAGGCGGUCUGAUAAGCCGGUUGUGAAAGCCCCGGGCUCAACCUGGGAACGGCAUCCGGAACUGUCAGGCUAGAGUGCAGGAGAGGAAGGUAGAAUUCCCGGUGUAGCGGUGAAAUGCGUAGAGAUCGGGAGGAAUACCAGUGGCGAAGGCGGCCUUCUGGACUGACACUGACGCUGAGGUGCGAAAGCGUGGGUAGCAAACAGGAUUAGAUACCCGAGUGUC
RNAcentral lists this ribosomal RNA (463 nucleotides) under Vreelandella stevensii. RNAcentral describes it as "partial 16S ribosomal RNA". It matches the Rfam family "Bacterial small subunit ribosomal RNA", at positions 338 to 795 of the family's 1533-position model. Lineage: Bacteria; Pseudomonadati; Pseudomonadota; Gammaproteobacteria; Oceanospirillales; Halomonadaceae. The record is from RNAcentral.